Molecule: long non-coding RNA, 342 nt
Filed under: Chrysolophus pictus (golden pheasant)
Lineage: Eukaryota; Metazoa; Chordata; Aves; Galliformes; Phasianidae
Description: lncRNA (ENSCPIG00010002943.1)
Source: RNAcentral
AUUAAAAAGUCAAUAGGGCUGGGGCCCAUCUUUCAGAAGUCUGUGCAGGAUCAAGCUGUUCAGCUGCUCUGAGCAGCCCUGGUCUUCUGCCAGGGCUUCACUGACUGUCAUUACCUGGUGGCAGAAAAGAAAGAGGCUCUUUGGAGUUUGUAGGUGGCAGCCCCUGUGAACCGAAGACCACAAGGUUCAUCUCCAUCAUCAAACAAAGAAGACCAACAGGAGCAAACCUGGAGAUGAGUGCUGCAAUCCAUCCAUGUGGGCUUUCUGUGUUGAAUCCUUCAUGCCAGAGCACUGCAUUUCAGACCAUGUUACAGGAAACUUGUCUCGUGGAGGUAAACAAAG